This 658-nucleotide ribosomal RNA is filed under the name uncultured fungus. RNAcentral describes it as "eukaryotic LSU rRNA". It matches the Rfam family "Eukaryotic large subunit ribosomal RNA", at positions 24 to 664 of the family's 3401-position model. Lineage: Eukaryota; Fungi. The record is from RNAcentral.
CCCGCUGAACUUAAGCAUAUCAAUAAGCGGAGGAAAAGAAACUAACAAGGAUUCCCUUAGUAACUGCGAGUGAAGUGGGAAAAGCUCAGAUUUAGAAUCUGGCAGUCUCUUGGCUGUCCAAGUUGUAAUCUAAAGAAGUGCUGCCCGUGCUGGGCCAUGUACAAGUUUCCUGGAAUGGAGCAUCUCAGAGGGUGAGAAUCCUGUCUUUGACAUGAACUGCCAGUGCUUUUGUGGUACGCUCUCAAAGAGUCGAGUUGUUUGGGAAUGCAGCUCAAAAUGGGUGGUAAAUGCCAUCUAAAGCUAAAUAUUGGCGAGAGACCGAUAGCGAACAAGUACCGUGAGGGAAAGAUGAAAAGAACUUUGGAAAGAGAGUUAAACAGUACGUGAAAUUGCUGAAAGGGAAACGCUUGAAGUCAGUCACGUUGACUCGGAAUCAGCUCUGCUUUUGCUGGGUGUACUUUCUUGUCAAUGGGUCAGCAUCAAUUUUGACCGCUGGAAAAGGGCCUGGGGAAUGUGGCAGCUUCGGCUGUGUUAUAGCCCCUGGUCACAUACGGCGGUUGGGAUUGAGGAACUCAGCACGCCGCAAGGCCGGGUUUCGACCACGUUCGUGCUUAGGAUGCUGGCAUAAUGGCUUUAAGCGACCCGUCUUGAAACACGG